AGCGUUGUUCGGAAUUACUGGGUGUAAAGGGUUCGUAGGCGGUGUGGCAAGUCGGGAGUGAAAUCUAUGGGCUUAACCCAUAGGCUGCUUCCGAAACUGCUGUGCUUGAGUGUGGGAGAGGCGCGUGGAAUUGCAGGUGUAGCGGUGAAAUGCGUAGAUAUCUGCAGGAACACCCGUGGCGAAAGCGGCGCGCUGGACCACAACUGACGCUGAGGAACGAAAGCUAGGGGAGCAAACAGGAUUAGAUACCCUAGUAGUCCUAGCCCUAAACGAUCAGGACUUGGGGUGCCGCCCGUUCGGGCGUCGUCCCGGAGCUAACGCGUUAAGUCCUGCACCUGGGGAGUACGGUCGCAAGACUGAAACUCAAAGGAAUUGACGGGGGCCCGCACAAGCGGUGGAACAUGUGGUUCAAUUCGACGCUACGCGAGGAACCUUACCUGGGCUCGAAAUGCUUCUGACCAGCUGUAGAAAUACGGCCUUCCCGCAAGGGACAGGAGUAUAGGCGCUGCAUGGCUGCCGUCAGCUCGUGCCGUGAGGUGUUGGGUUAAGUCCCGCAACGAGCGCAACCCCUGCACGUAGUUGCCACUCCGCAAGGAGGGAACUCUACGUGGACUGCUCCGGAUAACGGAGAGGAAGGUGGGGAUGACGUCAAGUCCGCAUGGCCUUUAUGUCCAGGGCUACACACGUGUUACAAUGCAGGGCACAAACCGUUGCCAACCCGCGAGGGGGAGCUAAUCGGAAAAAACUCUGCUCAGUUCGGAUUGCAGUCUGCAACUCGACUGCAUGAAGCCGGAAUCGCUAGUAAUGGCGUAUCAGAUCGACGCCGUGAAUACGUUCCCGGGCCUUGUACACACCGCCCGUCACAUCACGAAAGUGAGCUGUACUAGAAGUCGCCACGCUAACCGCAAGGAGGCAGGCGCCCAAGGUAUGACUCAUGAUUGGGGUGAAGUCGUAACAAGGUAGCCGUAGGAGAACCUGCGGCUGGAUCACCUCCUU
Molecule: ribosomal RNA, 996 nt
Filed under: uncultured bacterium
Lineage: Bacteria
Description: bacterial SSU rRNA
Rfam family: Bacterial small subunit ribosomal RNA
Source: RNAcentral